AUUGAACGCUGGCGGCAUGCUUUACACAUGCAAGUCGAACGGCAGCGCGGGGGCAACCCUGGCGGCGAGUGGCGAACGGGUGAGUAAUGCAUCGGAACGUAUCCUGUAAUGGGGGAUAACGUAGCGAAAGUUACGCUAAUACCGCAUACGCUCGAGAGAGGAAAGUGGGGAUCGCAAGACCUCACGUUAUAGGAGCGGCCGAUGUCCGAUUAGCUAGUUGGUGGGUAAAGGCCUACCAAGGCGACGAUCGGUAGCUGGUCUGAGAGGAUGAUCAGCCACACUGGGACUGAGACACGGCCCAGACUCCUACGGGAGGCAGCAGUGGGGAAUUUUGGACAAUGGGCGAAAGCCUGAUCCAGCCAUGCCGCGUGCGGGAAGAA
RNAcentral lists this ribosomal RNA (380 nucleotides) under uncultured bacterium. Its description in RNAcentral is "bacterial SSU rRNA". It matches the Rfam family "Bacterial small subunit ribosomal RNA", at positions 29 to 412 of the family's 1533-position model. The record is from RNAcentral.